AAUUAAAAUAACAUCCAAGACAUAAUAUUAAAUUGUUCAACAAAACAACAUAAAACCAAAUAAUUGUUCAACACCACAACAACAUAUACCAUCUUAGAAUUAUUAUUAUUAUUCCAUGGCAUUUUUUUGUCUUUAUUUAUAUUGUUAUGCAAAAUAAAAAAAUGGGUCCAACUUUUAAACUUGGACGACCCAUAUUGAGGGUCUCUCAUCACAUUCACUAAAACCCUAAAAGUCAUCUUCCUUAUUCUACUGCGCAGCCUCAACAUCAACAUGUCAUCUUCAACUUUUAUUUUCUUUUUUGGCUUUCUGAACUCUGAAGCUCUACCUGCGUCUUCAUCCUUCUUGGUUCCAUGGCAUCUACCUGCGUCUCUACUCUUGCAUCAGAUCGCAGCCCCUUAGGUAACCCUUUUUCCAAAAAUUCUUUAUUAAAAUCUUGGGACUCCCUAAAGGUACUUUUAACAGCAAUUUAGUUUUUAAUUUCCUACAUGAACUUCACAUUGUAACAUAGGUAGCAGUAACAUCUUAACAAAAACCUUAGGCUUAAUUGCAGUUUGGUCCUGAUGACCCGAUGUUUAUUCUAUCUUUGUCGAGUCAUUAUUGAGUUAUUUAGUCCUUUAUUGAGUUAUUAGUCAAGUUAAGUCCUUUUUUAGCUCAUAAAUGCAUUUGCAUUAGUUUAGAUUUUUUUAAUCUAUUUACUUAAUCUUUUAAUUAGUUUCUAUUAGUUUUAGUUUGGGGUUUAUUCUUUUGGUCAGACUUAAACUGAAACUUUGUGAGAUUAUGAGUGUUGAUGAGCUUUUGGGGGUUUUUGUUUGCUGGAUUGAAUGGGGGAUUGAUGAAAUAUUCAUUAAUGAGAUAUAUUCAGGAGUUACAUGGUUGUUCUCAUAGAGAGUUCUUGAGAUGCUUUUCAGGUUUGAUAGACUCUUGAUGGCUAAUGAUGAUGGUUGAAGGCAAAGUAAUGAGCAAUGAUAAUUGUGGGAAAGGGAGUUACAAAGCUGCUGAAAAAACUGGUGAAGACCACGCAUGUGCGUGGUGGAGACCCCGCACAUGCGUGGUGGUUCUGUAUGAGGAAGGGGCUGGAACGUGAAGACCACGCAUGUGCGCCGUUAUGGCCACGCACAUGCGUGGUAAACAGACUUAAAAGUUGAAAAUGGACAGAUUGGCCACGCAUGUGCGUGGUGGAGACCCCGCACAUGCGUGGUGGCAAAAUCUGAUGCUGCGAAUUGUGCGAUUUUGAGCGUCUUGCCCACGCAUGUGCGUGGUGGAGACCCCGCACAUGCGUGGAUUACCGCUGGAAACUUUAUAAAUAGGGAUUUUGUUAUUUCUUUGAGGCAUCUUGUAACUUUUUGAACAAAACUUAGAGGUUUAGGUUCUUGGAGCUUGUGAAA
This is a long non-coding RNA of Lotus japonicus, 1385 nucleotides long. RefSeq lists it as uncharacterized. The record is from RefSeq and is a predicted model, not a curated record. The transcript is spliced from 2 exons. Lineage: Eukaryota; Viridiplantae; Streptophyta; Magnoliopsida; Fabales; Fabaceae.